GACGAACGCUGGCGGCGUGCUUAACACAUGCAAGUCGAACGGAAAGGCCCUGCUUUUGUGGGGUGCUCGAGUGGCGAACGGGUGAGUAACACGUGAGUAACCUGCCCUUGACUUUGGGAUAACUUCAGGAAACUGGGGCUAAUACCGGAUAGGAGCUCCUGCUGCAUGGUGGGGGUUGGAAAGUUUCGGCGGUUGGGGAUGGACUCGCGGCUUAUCAGCUUGUUGGUGGGGCAGUGGCUUACCAAGGCUUUGACGGGUAGCCGGCCUGAGAGGGUGACCGGCCACACUGGAACUGAGAUACGGCCCGGACUCCUAUGGGAGGCAGCAGUGGGGAAUAUUGCACAAUGGGCGGAAGCCUGAUGCAGCAACGCCGCGUGCGGGAUGACGGCCUUCGGGUUGGGAACCGCUGUCGCCUGUGACGAAGCGUGAGUGACGGUAAUGGGUAAAGAAGCACCGGCUAACUACGUG
Molecule: ribosomal RNA, 468 nt
Filed under: uncultured bacterium
Lineage: Bacteria
Description: partial 16S ribosomal RNA
Rfam family: Bacterial small subunit ribosomal RNA
Source: RNAcentral